UACGAAGGGGGCUAGCGUUGCUCGGAAUUACUGGGCGUAAAGGGCGCGUAGGCGGGUCGUUAAGUUAGAGGUGAAAGCCCAGGGCUCAACCCUGGAAUUGCCUUUGAUACUGGCGACCUUGAGUAUGGCAGAGGUGUGUGGAACUCCGAGUGUAGAGGUGAAAUUCGUAGAUAUUCGGAAGAACACCAGUGGCGAAGGCGACACACUGGGCCAUUACUGACGCUGAGGCGCGAAAGCGUGGGGAGCAAACAGG
RNAcentral lists this ribosomal RNA (253 nucleotides) under uncultured Caulobacteraceae bacterium. RNAcentral's name for it is "partial 16S ribosomal RNA". It matches the Rfam family "Bacterial small subunit ribosomal RNA", at positions 524 to 776 of the family's 1533-position model. The record is from RNAcentral. Lineage: Bacteria; Pseudomonadati; Pseudomonadota; Alphaproteobacteria; Caulobacterales; Caulobacteraceae.